RNAcentral lists this ribosomal RNA (273 nucleotides) under uncultured bacterium. RNAcentral describes it as "partial 16S ribosomal RNA". It matches the Rfam family "Bacterial small subunit ribosomal RNA", at positions 524 to 796 of the family's 1533-position model. The record is from RNAcentral.
UACAGAGGGUGCGAGCGUUAAUCGGAAUUACUGGGCGUAAAGCGUGCGUAGAUGGUUAUGUAAGUCGGAUGUGAAAGCCCCGGGCUCAACCUGGGAAUUGCAUUCGAGACUGCAUAGCUAGGAUGCGGAAGAGGGAAGCGGAAUUUCCGGUGUAGCGGUGAAAUGCGUAGAUAUCGGAAGGAACACCAGUGGCGAAAGCGGCUUCCUGGUCCAGCAUCGACGUUCAGGCACGAAAGCGUGGGGAGCAAACAGGAUUAGAAACCCCCGUAGUCC